Molecule: ribosomal RNA, 216 nt
Filed under: uncultured bacterium
Lineage: Bacteria
Description: partial 16S ribosomal RNA
Rfam family: Bacterial small subunit ribosomal RNA
Source: RNAcentral
ACGCUCGACACCUAGGAGGCAGCAGUGAGGAAUAUUGGUCAAUGGGCGCUAGCCUGAACCAGCCAAGUAGCGUGAAGGAUGAAGGCUCUAUGGGUCGUAAACUUCUUUUAUAUAAGAAUAAAGUGCAGUAUGUAUACUGUUUUGUAUGUAUUAUAUGAAUAAGGAUCGGCUAACUCCGUGCCAGCAGCCGCGGUAAUCUGAGCGGGCUGGCAAGGC